RNAcentral lists this ribosomal RNA (662 nucleotides) under bacterium enrichment culture clone F10 1.694-7. RNAcentral describes it as "bacterial SSU rRNA". It matches the Rfam family "Bacterial small subunit ribosomal RNA", at positions 8 to 660 of the family's 1533-position model. The record is from RNAcentral.
AGAGUUUGAUCAUGGCUCAGAACGAACGCUGGCGGCGUGUCUUAAGCAUGCAAGUCGAGCGGCAGGCGCAGCAAUGCGCUGAGAGCGGCGGACGGGUGAGUAACGCGUGGGUAAUCUACCUUUGGCAUGGGGAUAGCCACUAGAAAUAGUGGGUAAUACCGAAUACGUUCCCUGGGGGGAGGUUUCAGGGAAGAAAGGGUGCUACGGCACCGGCCAAAGAUGAGCUCGCGUCCCAUUAGCUAGUUGGUGAGGUAAUGGCCCACCAAGGCGAUGAUGGGUAGCCGGCCUGAGAGGGUGUACGGCCACACUGGGACUGAGAUACGGCCCAGACUCCUACGGGAGGCAGCAGCUAAGAAUAUUCCGCAAUGGACGAAAGUCUGACGGAGCGACGCCGCGUGGAUGAUGAAGGCCGAAAGGUUGUAAAGUCCUUUUGCUGGGGAAGAAUAAGUGUGGGAGGGAAUGCCCGCAUGAUGACAUGAACCGGCGAAUAAGCCCCGGCCAACUACGUGCCAGCAGCCGCGGUAACACGUAGGGGGCGAGCGUUGUUCGGAAUUACUGGGCGUAAAGGGCAUGUAGGCGGUCUGGUAAGCCUGGCGUGAAAGGCCACAGCUCAACUGUGGGAUUGCGUUGGGAACUGCUGGGCUUGAGUUAUGGAGAGGGAG